AUUGAACGCUGGCGGGAUGCUUUACACAUGCAAGUCGAACGGCAGCACGGACUUCGGUCUGGUGGCGAGUGGCGAACGGGUGAGUAAUGUAUCGGAACGUGCCCAGUCGUGGGGGAUAACGUAGUGAAAAUUACGCUAAUACCGCAUACGAUCUAUGAAUGAAAGCGGGGGAUCGCAAGACCUCGCGCGAUUGGAGCGGCCGAUAUCAGAUUAGGUAGUUGGUGGGGUAAAGGCCCACCAAGCCAACGAUCUGUAGCUGGUCUGAGAGGGCGACCAGCCACACUGGAACUGAGACACGGUCCAGACUCCUACGGGAGGCAGCAGUGGGGAAUUUUGGACAAUGGGCGAAAGCCUGAUCCAGCCAUUCCGCGUGCAGGAUGAAGGCCCUCGGGUUGUAAACUGCUUUUGUACAGAACGAAAAGGUUUCUACUAAUACUAGGAGCUCAUGACGGUACUGUAAGAAUAAGCACCGGCUAACUACGUGCCAGCCGCCGCAGUAA
Molecule: ribosomal RNA, 500 nt
Filed under: uncultured bacterium
Lineage: Bacteria
Description: partial 16S ribosomal RNA
Rfam family: Bacterial small subunit ribosomal RNA
Source: RNAcentral